RNAcentral lists this unclassified non-coding RNA (89 nucleotides) under Pseudomonas sp. bs2935. Lineage: Bacteria; Pseudomonadati; Pseudomonadota; Gammaproteobacteria; Pseudomonadales; Pseudomonadaceae. The record is from RNAcentral.
UGUGGGAGCUGGCUUGCCUGCGAUAGCUGUAGGUCAGCUACUGAGAUGUUGACUGACAGGCCGCUAUCGCAGGCAAGCCAGCUCCCAUA